ACUCGGAGAUAGCUGGUUCUCCUCGAAAUAGCUUUAGGGCUAGCCUUGAGGUAAAGUCUAAUGGAGGUAAAGCACUGAUUGGACGCGGGUCCCCAAAAGGAUACCAACUUCUAUCAAACUCAGAAUGCCAUAUAGAUAUACUCAGGAGUCAGACUAUGUGAGAUAAGUUUCAUAGUCAAAAGGGAAAGAGCCCAGACCGACAGCUAAGGUCCCAAAGUGUGUGUUAAGUGGAAAAGGAUGUUAGGUUUCUAAGACAACUAGGAUGUUGGCUCAGAAGCAGCCACUCAUUUAAAGAGUGCGUAACAGCUCACUAGUCGAGAGGUCUAGCGCCGAAAAUGUCCGGGGCUAAAACACACCACCGAAGCUACGGAAUUACCUAUGGUAAUUGGUAGAGGAGCAUUCUGUAAGGAUGAAGCACAAUUGAAAGAGAGUGUGGACGAAACAGAAGAGAGAAUGCCGGAAUGAGUAGCGAGAUAUAUGUGAGAAUCAUAUAGGUCGAAUGUCUAAGGUUUCCUGGGUAAAGCUGAUCUGCUCAGGGUAAGUCGGGACCUAAGGUGAGGGCGAGAGCCGUAAUCGAUGGACAACAGGUAGAAAUUCCUGUACUACGUAUAAUCAGAACUGUGGGGACGCAGGAGGAUAGGAAAACCGGAGAAUGGAAAAAUCCGGCUAAGUACAAAGGUGUGAGUGAUAGGCAAAUCCGUCACUAUUAGCUGAAGUACGAAUGGGAGCGAAGAAAAGUAGCGAAGUUUCUGAAUCCACACUGUCAAGAAAAGCCGCUAUUGCGUUAUACGUACCCGUACCGCAAACCGACACAGGUAGACGAGGAGAAAAUCCACAGACCGACGGGAGAAGUGUUGUUAAGGAACUCGGCAAAAUGACCCCGUAACUUAGGGAUAAGGGGAGCCAACGCAAGUUGGUCACAGAAAAGAGGCUCAAGCGACUGUUUAGCAAAAACAUAGGUCUAUGCGAAACCGUAAGGUGAUGUAUAUGGGCUGACACCUGCCCGGUGCUGGAAGGUCAAAAGGAGAGGUUAGCGUAAGCGAAGCUUUGAAUUCAAGCCCCAGUAAACGGCGGCCGUAACUAUAACGGUCCUAAGGUAGCGAAAUUCCUUGUCAGGUAAGUUCUGACCCGCACGAAAGGUGUAACGAUUUGAGCACUGUCUCGACAACACGCCCGGUGAAAUUGAAGAACCAGUGAAGAUACUGGUUACCCGCAACAGGACGGAAAGACCCCAUGGAGCUUUACUGCAGCUUAAUAUUGGGAUUCGGUAUUGUAUGUACAGGAUAGGAGGGAGACUAAGAAGCUAGCACGCCAGUGUUGGUGGAGUCGAUGGUGGGAUACCUCUCUUAUAAUACUGAAUUUCUAACCUACUUCCGUGAUCCGGAAGAGGGACAUUGUUAGGCGGGCAGUUUGACUGGGGCGGUCGCCUCCGAAAGAGUAACGGAGGCGCUCAAAGGUCUUCUCAGAAUGAUUGGAAACCAUUCAAAGAGUGUAAAGGCAAAAGAAGGCUUGACUGCGAGAGUGACAACUCGAGCAGGUACGAAAGUAGGACUUAGUGAUCCGGUGGUAACAAGUGGGAGUGCCAUCGCUUAACGGAUAAAAGCUACCCUGGGGAUAACAGGCUUAUCUCCCCCAAGAGUUCACAUCGACGGGGAGGUUUGGCACCUCGAUGUCGGCUCAUCGCAUCCUGGGGCUGUAGUAGGUCCCAAGGGUUGGGCUGUUCGCCCAUUAAAGCGGUACGCGAGCUGGGUUCAGAACGUCGUGAGACAGUUCGGUCCCUAUCCGUUGUGGGCGUAGGAAAUUUGAUAGGAGCUGUCCUUAGUACGAGAGGACCGGGAUGGACGAACCUCUGGUGAAUCUGUUGGUAACCAAUGCCACAGCAGAAUAGCCAAGUUUGGAACGGAUAAACGCUGAAGGCAUCUAAGCGUGAAGCCAACCUAAAGACUAGAUUUCCCAUGCGAAAGCAGUAAGACUCCUUGUAGACGACAAGGUUGAUAGGCCAGAGAUGUAAGCACAGUAAUGUGUUCAGUUGACUGGUACUAAUAAGUCGAGGGCUUGACCAA
Molecule: ribosomal RNA, 2063 nt
Filed under: human gut metagenome
Description: bacterial LSU rRNA
Rfam family: Bacterial large subunit ribosomal RNA
Source: RNAcentral